GGGGAAUUUUGGACAAUGGGCGGAAGCCUGAUCCAGCCAUGCCGCGUGAGUGAAGAAGGCCUUCGGGUUGUAAAGCUCUUUCGGUGGGGAAGAAAUUGCACGGGCUAAUACCCUGUGUAGAUGACGGUACCCGACUAAGAAGCACCGGCUAACUACGUGCCAGCAGCCGCGGUAAUACGUAGGGUGCGAGCGUUAAUCGGAAUUACUGGGCGUAAAGCGUGCGCAGGCGGUUUGGUCAGUCAGAUGGGAAAGCCCCGGGCUCAACCUGGGAACUGCAUUUGAGACUGCCAGGCUGGAGUGUGGCAGAGGGGGGUGGAAUUCCACGUGUAGCAGUGAAAUGCGUAGAGAUGUGGAGGAACACCGAUGGCGAAGGCAGCCCCCUGGGUCACUACUGACGCUCAUGCACGAAAGCGUGGGGAGCAAAC
This 425-nucleotide ribosomal RNA is filed under the name uncultured bacterium. RNAcentral's name for it is "bacterial SSU rRNA". It matches the Rfam family "Bacterial small subunit ribosomal RNA", at positions 356 to 773 of the family's 1533-position model. The record is from RNAcentral.